UCCUAGCCCGGAUAGAAGCGGUUACCCCGGAACAUGAGUUGGAGAGAAGAGGGUUUAGUGAUGGAAAAGCAAUGGAGUGAGGAGUAAAAGCGAAUAGCCGGAAAUAGC
Molecule: unclassified non-coding RNA, 108 nt
Filed under: Chryseobacterium balustinum
Lineage: Bacteria; Pseudomonadati; Bacteroidota; Flavobacteriia; Flavobacteriales; Weeksellaceae
Description: Flavo-1 RNA
Source: RNAcentral